UAGGAGGGCAGCUUGGGCCUUUAAGUAAGCGGAAAUGGUACGACCCUACAACUAAACACCAACUAGAACACUGGAAGUUUACGCAGAUAGGUAUCUUCUGCCACGGCAGAAGGUUGAAUUGAAACUGUUACGGCGCAUUUUUGUGACACUUUUGUUCAACCUUUUUAAUUCAACUUUUAAUCAAAUUUGGCGAUAAAAUGGGUGUCCAGUGAUAGCUGAGUUCAAUCUCGAAGUUCAAUCUUUUCAGUUUAAUCUCAUAUUUAAGUUGGCGCCCGAAAUGUACACUUGGUUAAACCGUCUGCCGUAAAGUCACAAAGAGACACAACGUCACUCCAAAGUUGAACAAAAAGUUAAUGUAAAAAUGAGUCCUUAGGGUCCGUUCCGCAUCCGCAAUUCCACAUUGAGUUCCAAAUCCGAAGUCCGAACUUUAGUAGAAAAGCGUUUCGCUUUCGCAUUUUAGGCACUCCUUACAUUGCUUUGUGUGUUGCAAUUGCAAGGGAGGAGCACUAUCUGUAUGUAAACAAACAGAGAUAGCAUGGAAACUGCACUUUUUUAAGGGACCCGGUAAAUCGUGUACGCGUACCGUGUACCGGUAUAUCGUGGAAAACGAUCGCAGAAUGGUUUCGCCCGCAUGUCUAGUUUCUUGCAAAACAGCGAAACCUCUUCAGCGUGUCGGGCUACGUCAAGGCAGGGCAGCAGUUUACUAGAAAUGUCUCAUUGAAUUCUGUUGUCCGUCAGCGAGCUCGGCUUACAGGUAAAAGAAACCGCUACAGCAGCAUCUUCCUUGAGCCGCGCCGUGGCUCAUUUCGCAUCAAAUGCACAGCAUAGGCAUAAAAUGGAUAUUGGAUUGGAGCAACUACGGUUUACAUCCGCGUGUUGGAUUCUGUUGCUUCCAAGUUGCACUGUGCUGCCUUAUGUUUCACUCUUGAUUCCUGUACAAUUUCAUUCAUGUUUAUUCUCAACUCCACAUACAAAUUACACGGAGGAAAAAAUCA
Long non-coding RNA from Daphnia magna, 995 nucleotides. RefSeq lists it as uncharacterized. The record is from RefSeq and is a predicted model, not a curated record. The transcript has 3 exons. NCBI's taxonomy places the organism in Eukaryota, Metazoa, Arthropoda, Branchiopoda, Diplostraca, Daphniidae.